GUGGGGAAUCUUGCGCAAUGGGCGAAAGCCUGACGCAGCCAUGCCGCGUGAAUGAUGAAGGUCUUAGGAUUGUAAAAUUCUUUCACCGGGGACGAUAAUGACGGUACCCGGAGAAGAAGCCCCGGCUAACUUCGUGCCAGCAGCCGCGGUAAUACGAAGGGGGCUAGCGUUGCUCGGAAUUACUGGGCGUAAAGGGCGCGUAGGCGGACAGUUUAGUCAGAGGUGAAAGCCCAGGGCUCAACCUUGGAAUUGCCUUUGAUACUGGCUGUCUUGAGUACGGGAGAGGUGAGUGGAACUCCGAGUGUAGAGGUGAAAUUCGUAGAUAUUCGGAAGAACACCAGUGGCGAAGGCGACUCACUGGCCCGUUACUGACGCUGAGGCGCGAAAGCGUGGGGAGCGAACAGGAUUAGAAACCCUAGUAGUCC
Molecule: ribosomal RNA, 425 nt
Filed under: uncultured bacterium
Lineage: Bacteria
Description: partial 16S ribosomal RNA
Rfam family: Bacterial small subunit ribosomal RNA
Source: RNAcentral